AGCGGACAGAUGGGAGCUUGCUCCCUGAUGUUAGCGGCGGACGGGUGAGUAACACGUGGGUAACCUGCCUGUAAGACUGGGAUAACUCCGGGAAACCGGGGCUAAUACCGGAUGCUUGUUUGAACCGCAUGGUUCAAACAUAAAAGGUGGCUUCGGCUACCACUUACAGAUGGACCCGCGGCGCAUUAGCUAGUUGGUGAGGUAAUGGCUCACCAAGGCAACGAUGCGUAGCCGACCUGAGAGGGUGAUCGGCCACACUGGGACUGAGACACGGCCCAGACUCCUACGGGAGGCAGCAGUAGGGAAUCUUCCGCAAUGGACGAAAGUCUGACGGAGCAACGCCGCGUGAGUGAUGAAGGUUUUCGGAUCGUAAAGCUCUGUUGUUAGGGAAGAACAAGUACCGUUCGAAUAGGGCGGUACCUUGACGGUACCUAACCAGAAAGCCACGGCUAACUACGUGCCAGCAGCCGCGGUAAUACGUAGGUGGCAAGCGUUGUCCGGAAUUAUUGGGCGUAAAGGGCUCGCAGGCGGUUUCUUAAGUCUGAUGUGAAAGCCCCCGGCUCAACCGGGGAGGGUCAUUGGAAACUGGGGAACUUGAGUGCAGAAGAGGAGAGUGGAAUUCCACGUGUAGCGGUGAAAUGCGUAGAGAUGUGGAGGAACACCAGUGGCGAAGGCGACUCUCUGGUCUGUAACUGACGCUGAGGAGCGAAAGCGUGGGGAGCGAACAGGAUUAGAUACCCUGGUAGUCCACGCCGUAAACGAUGAGUGCUAAGUGUUAGGGG
This 782-nucleotide ribosomal RNA is filed under the name Bacillus spizizenii. Its description in RNAcentral is "bacterial SSU rRNA". It matches the Rfam family "Bacterial small subunit ribosomal RNA", at positions 65 to 829 of the family's 1533-position model. The record is from RNAcentral. Lineage: Bacteria; Bacillati; Bacillota; Bacilli; Caryophanales; Bacillaceae.